AGCGAACGCUGGCGGCAGGCUUAACACAUGCAAGUCGAGCGGGCAUCUUCGGAUGUCAGCGGCAGACGGGUGAGUAACACGUGGGAACGUACCCUUCGGUUCGGAACAACUCUGGGAAACUGGAGCUAAUACCGGAUACGCCCUUAUGGGGAAAGGUUUACUGCCGAAGGAUCGGCCCGCGUCUGAUUAGCUAGUUGGUUGGGUAUCGGCCUACCAAGGCGACGUUCAGUAGCUGGUCUGAGAGGAUGAUUAGCCACGAUGGGAAUGAGACACGGACCAGACUCGUACGGGAGGCAGCGGUGGGGAAUAUUAGACAAUGGGCGCAAGUCUGACCCAGCCAUGCGGCGUGAAUGAUGAAGGCCUUAGGGUUGUAAAGCUCUUUUGUCCGGGACGAGAAUGACGGUACCGGAAGAAUAAGCCCCGGCUAACUUCGUG
Molecule: ribosomal RNA, 435 nt
Filed under: uncultured bacterium
Lineage: Bacteria
Description: partial 16S ribosomal RNA
Rfam family: Bacterial small subunit ribosomal RNA
Source: RNAcentral